CCUACGGGAGGCAGCAGUGGGGAAUUUUGGACAAUGGGGGCAACCCUGAUCCAGCAACGCCGCGUGAAUGAAGAAGGCCUUCGGGUUGUAAAGUUCUUUUGUCAGGGAGCAAAGGGUUUGUGCUAAUACCGCAAACUGUUGAGAGUACCUGAAGAAUAAGCACCGGCUAACUACGUGCCAGCAGCCGCGGUAAUACGUAGGGUGCAAGCGUUAAUCGGAAUUACUGGGCGUAAAGCGUGCGCAGGCGGAUGAUUAAGUUAGGAGUGAAAUCCCCGGGCUCAACCUGGGAACUGCUUUUAAGACUGGUCAUCUAGAGUUUGUCAGAGGGGGGUGGAAUUCCAAGUGUAGCAGUGAAAUGCGUAGAGAUUUGGAGGAACACCGAUGGCGAAGGCAGCCCCCUGGGAUAAAACUGACGCUCAGGCACGGAAGCGUGGGUAGCAAACAGGAUUAGAUACCCUGGUAGUCCACGCCCUAAACGAUGUUUACUUGCUGUUGGGGGUAACCUUAGUAGCGAAGCUAACGCGAGAAGUAAACCGCCUGGGGAGUACGGUCGCAAGAUUAAAACUCAAAGGAAUUGACGG
This 581-nucleotide ribosomal RNA is filed under the name uncultured bacterium. RNAcentral's name for it is "bacterial SSU rRNA". It matches the Rfam family "Bacterial small subunit ribosomal RNA", at positions 338 to 916 of the family's 1533-position model. The record is from RNAcentral.